CGAAGGGUGCAAGCGUUAAUCGGAAUUACUGGGCGUAAAGGGUGCGUAGGCGGUUGUUUAAGUCUGUCGUGAAAUCCCCGGGCUCAACCUGGGAAUGGCGAUGGAUACUGGGCAGCUAGAGUGUGUCAGAGGAUGGUGGAAUUCCCGGUGUAGCGGUGAAAUGCGUAGAGAUCGGGAGGAACAUCAGUGGCGAAGGCGGCCAUCUGGGACAACACUGACGCUGAAGCACGAAAGCGUGGGGAGCAAACAGGAUUAGAUACCCUGGUAGUCCACGCCCUAAACGAUGCGAACUGGAUGUUGGUCUCAGCUCGGAGAUCAGUGUCGAAGCUAACGCGUUAAGUUCGCCGCCUGGGGAGUACGGUCGCAAGACUG
RNAcentral lists this ribosomal RNA (372 nucleotides) under uncultured organism. Its description in RNAcentral is "bacterial SSU rRNA". It matches the Rfam family "Bacterial small subunit ribosomal RNA", at positions 526 to 896 of the family's 1533-position model. The record is from RNAcentral.